UUAACCUAUAUGAACUUCAAUCAUCCUAAACCACAAUUAGACUGAGUUUAUGUCUGACUUUCCUUGUCGUAGUCGCCUAAAAUAAUUUUUCAAGCAAGCGAGAACAAGCACUGACUGGAAAUGAUAUUCUCGCUCUAUUAAAUAUGGGACUAUUUUCUCUUAGUGCUCUUAGUUUGUUGACUCUUUAACCCUAACUAGACACCUGUUAUCUAGCAGCCAAGUGCAGAAUGGUGUUUGAGAAAUUGAAAUGAUUCCGCAAUGAUUAAUGCAGCAGUAAAUGUAUAUAAUAAAGCCAUAUUGAGGGAUUUUUUUUUUCUUUUUAUUUGCACAAUGUCAAGGAAUCCCAUCCGUAAGAAAGCCCACUGGCUUGACAAGGACCUUAGCAGAGAUAUCCGAAUAAAAGGGUCUUAUUUGCUGUGUAUAGUUCAGUUUACUGUGAGCCUCUGUUAUCUGAAAUGUAAUAUUGUAAUGUGCUGACCAGUACACGACGACCAUGUGUAUGGAUGUCCAGACAGUGCCACAGUUAAAACAUUUCUUAUCCCAGUGCGUCACACUGUAGAAACGAACAAACUGAGUUAUGGAGGAAAGAGCUCUGUGUUUCUCUCCUCAUUUGCUGGUGUAAUAGUUGUUCCUCUUUAUUUCUGAUGUCCUACAGUGUACUUCAGUCUAAUAAUAAGAUGAGUACAGAUAACAUGUUGAAAGAUGUUACGUUGCAGUGUCGUUAAACAAGCAGCGACUUGCUUGGAAAUAUAUUGGAGGAAAACAAGUGUCUACAAAUGCCACAAUUUUGUAAUUGCUGUAAUUAUGACACUGGCACAUUUGUCUGACACCUAACAUAAAGCAGGAACGCUGUAUUAAAAACAAUUUAAUAGUUGUUUUACGAACUCGACUCCAUUUCCUCUGUACUGCUUUGGUUCCUCUUUUUCUUGUUUUUUUAUUUUUCAUUUUUUUUUACCCCUGCCAUGUAAAUCGCUACAUGAACCAGAGGAAGAUGUUCUCCAUUUGAAAUAAGCGUCAUCAUGAUUAAUAAUUGAAUAAGUACUGUCAUAAUAAAUGCAGA
Cyprinus carpio carpio is the source of this 1060-nucleotide long non-coding RNA. The record is from Ensembl. NCBI's taxonomy places the organism in Eukaryota, Metazoa, Chordata, Actinopteri, Cypriniformes, Cyprinidae.